GUUAAAGAGCAACAGACUAAAAAUGGACCUCUGCGGCAGACCGCGAUUGUGCGGUCUUGCAUAUGAACGCCUGAGACAAACCCAGCCAGGAGUAUUAGCGUUUCUGGUAUGACAUGAUCGAACGCUCCAAUCAGGUCCAGGAACAAAACGCCAGUAAACUGAAGUCGGAAUGAGGAAAUUCUAAUUUUAGAAACAUAGAGUCCCUGUAACAGAGUCUGGCCAACACGGCAGUUUUGGCAAAAUUCUGCGAGAGAGAUAGAAAUAUACGUCAUCUUACUCUAAACGAACGCAUGCGCAUGACAGUGUUGCUACAUAUGGCUACAUAUGGAAAGUGCUGAAUUGUGAUCAGAAGUAUAUGAAGAAUAAUUCUGCAAAAUGGGGAUUCUAUAGAAACUAAAAGAACAAUACUAUCAGUGCACGAGAGCCCUUUCCUGAAGCCAAAUUGAAAGGAGGGAAGGAUGUUGUUAUUCUCUGCCCACCAUUCCAUUCUCUUGUAAACUAAUUUUUCGAACAGUUUCAAUAUGUUAUUGGAUAAAGAGAUGGGACGUAAGGCAUUUUUUUUAUUGUGUUUGGGGAUAAAUAUUACAAAAUAUUUUUUCCAGUCCGUUGGGAAUAAACAUUUAUGGAAUAUGAGAUUGAACAUUUUUAGAAUAAAAGUAUGCAUUUCAGAAGGAAAACGUCUUAGUAUUCGAUUGAAAAUUAAGUCCGCUCCGAGGCAAAGCGUAGUUUAAGGGAACUCAGAGCAGAGACAAAAAAGUAUCAUGAAAGAGGGAUCUAUGUUAGUGUGAAGAAUCGAUAUAUCAUUUAGGAAAGAAAGGAUACCGGCAUAAUUCUGAUUAGAGUUAGAAAUUCGGUUCAUCAAGUUCGGAGGGAUUAUGGUAUCAAACGCUUGUUUGAAGUGAUCGAGAGAAAUGUAAUUGUUAGAGGAUUCACCUCAUGCUGAUUUAAAUGGGUUAUAAAAGAAACGCAUUCCCACAUAGCACAGUAUGUCCUAUGUACAUUCAUUUUAUGUCAAUUUUAUGUCCGUAUAUCCAUGGAUAUAAAAUGAAUAUCCAUCGUAUAUCCGAUUUAAGAUAUCCGUCAAUAGGCAAUAUUAGGACGUCCACAGGAUGUCCGAUCUUGGACAUCUAAUCUAUUAUAGCAUAAGAUAUCCAUAGAAUCCUAAUUUGGUCGACAUUAUCCCAAACUCAGAUUAAAUGAGUCAUCUCCCUUAAGCAAAAUGUUAGCAGUAUGAUGGCAGAUUGGUAGCAGAUUUAAUCAAAAUCUGUUAAAACUGACAUCAACUGCGUUUGCAUUCAGCUAAUGUUUUGCCAGCAGAAUCUGCUAAUAUAAUAAGUCGACAGAUUGGCGGUAAAAUUUGAACAAACUUUGUUGACAUAACUAGGCGGCAGAUUGGCGACAGAAACCGAACAGAGUUUGCUAAUAUAAUCUGCUGAUAGAUUGACAGCAAAAAUCAAGCAGAUUCUGCAGCUUCUAGACAUUUAUAUAAAAUGGACAUUUAAAUGAAUUUAAACAUUAAAAAAAUUCCAAGUAACAAAAUGAUAAUAAAUUUUGGUCACAAAAUAACAUAAAUAAUUAGACAUCCUAAAUUAAAUCUCACGAAACCCAAAAAUGAUGUCAA
This is a long non-coding RNA of Cataglyphis hispanica, 1621 nucleotides long. RefSeq lists it as uncharacterized. The record is from RefSeq and is a predicted model, not a curated record. Lineage: Eukaryota; Metazoa; Arthropoda; Insecta; Hymenoptera; Formicidae. The transcript has 3 exons.